UGAUUUUCUUCUCUUGUGUUCCAGGGACCAGAGGGCCCUCGGGGUGACACGGGCCCUCCAGGACCUCAGGGUCCCCCUGGACCCCAAGGACCAAGUGGUCUGUCCAUUCAAGGAAUGCCUGGUAUGACGGGUGCUAAAGGAGAAAAAGGAGAGACUGGCCUUCCUGGCCCACAGGUAUGAGUUUUACUUUUUAGU
This 195-nucleotide long non-coding RNA is filed under the name Ursus americanus (American black bear). RNAcentral describes it as "lncRNA (ENSUAMG00000005183.1)". Lineage: Eukaryota; Metazoa; Chordata; Mammalia; Carnivora; Ursidae. The record is from RNAcentral.